CACGUAGGGGGCGAGCGUUGUCCGGAAUUACUGGGCGUAAAGCGUGCGCAGGCGGUUUCUUAAGUCAGAUGUGAAAGCCCCGGGCUUAACCUGGGAACUGCGUUUGAAACUGGGAGACUUGAGUGUGGCAGAGGGGGGUGGAAUUCCACGUGUAGCAGUGAAAUGCGUAGAUAUGUGGAGGAACACCGAUGGCGAAGGCAGCCCCCUGGGUUAACACUGACGCUCAUGCACGAAAGCGUGGGGAGCAAACAGG
Molecule: ribosomal RNA, 253 nt
Filed under: uncultured bacterium
Lineage: Bacteria
Description: partial 16S ribosomal RNA
Rfam family: Bacterial small subunit ribosomal RNA
Source: RNAcentral